UUCGAUGGUAGGAUAGUGGCCUACCAUGGUGGCAACAGGUAACGGGGGAGUUAGGGUUCGAUUCUGGAGAGGGAGCCUGAGAAACGGCUACCACAUCCAAGGAAGGCAGCAGGCGCGCAAAUUACCCAAUCCCAACACGGGGAGGUAGUGACAAUAAAUACUGAUACAGGGCUCUUUCGGGUCUUGUAAUUGGAAUGAGUACAAUAUAAAUCCCCUAACGACGGAGCAAUUGGAGGGCAAGUCUGGUGUCAGCAGCCGCGGUAAUACCAGCUCCACAUAGCGUAUAUUAAAGUUGUUGCAGUUAAAAAGCUCGUAGAUGAGCCCUGUGUCUGGCUGGCCCGGUUCGCUUCGCGGCGUGCACUGGUCCGGCUGGACCUUUCCUUCUGGGGAACCCUAUGGCCUUCACUGGCUGUAGGGGGAACCAGGACUUUUACUGUGAAAAAAUUAGAGUGUUCAAAGCAGGCCUUUGCUCGGAUACACUAGCAUGGAAUAAUAGAAUAGGACGUGUGUUUCUAUUUUGUUGGUUUCUAGGACCGCCGUAAUGAUUAAUAGGGAUAGUCGGGGGCGUCAGUAUUCGGCUGUCAGAGAUGUAUUUCUUGGAUUUGCUGAAGACUAACUACUGCGAAAACAUUCUCCAAGGAUGUUUUCUCUAAUCAGUGAACGAAAGUUAUGGGAUCGAAGACGAUCAGAGACCGUCGUAGUCUUUUCCAUAAACUAUGCCGACUAGGGAUCGGGCGGGCGCCUUUGAAUAUACCCGUUCGGCGCCUUACGAGAGAUCAAAAAUUUUUGGUUCUGGGGGGAGUAUGGUCUCAAGGCUGAAACUUAAAGAAAAUGACGGAAGGGCCCCACCAGGCGUGGGAGCUGCGGCUUAAUUUGACUCAACACGGGGAAACUCACCAGGUCCAGACAAAAUAAGGAUUGACAGAUUGAGAGCUCUUUCUUGAUCUUUUGGAUGGUGGUGCAUGGCCGUUCUUAGUUGGUGGAGUGAUUUGUCUGCUUAAUUGCGAUA
This 1009-nucleotide non-coding RNA is filed under the name Coccidioides immitis H538.4. RNAcentral describes it as "Eukaryotic small subunit ribosomal RNA". It matches the Rfam family "Eukaryotic small subunit ribosomal RNA", at positions 321 to 1330 of the family's 1831-position model. Lineage: Eukaryota; Fungi; Ascomycota; Eurotiomycetes; Onygenales; Onygenaceae. The record is from Rfam by way of RNAcentral.